Molecule: ribosomal RNA, 256 nt
Filed under: uncultured bacterium
Lineage: Bacteria
Description: partial 16S ribosomal RNA
Rfam family: Bacterial small subunit ribosomal RNA
Source: RNAcentral
UACGUAGGGGGCUAGCGUUGUCCGGAAUCAUUGGGCGUAAAGAGCGUGUAGGCGGCUCGGUAAGUCCGCUGUAAAAGUCAAAGGCUCAACCUUUGAAUGUCAGUGGAUACUGCCGGGCUAGAGUCCGGAAGAGGCGAGUGGAACUCCUGGUGUAGCGGUGGAAUGCGCAGAUAUCAGGAAGAACACCAACGGCGAAGGCAGCUCGCUGGGACGGUAACUGACGGCUGGAGACGCGAAAGCGUGGGGAGCGAACAGG